GACGAACGCUGGCGGCGUGCUUAAUACAUGCAAGUCGAACGGAAAGGCCCUGCUUUUGUGGGGUGCUCGAUUGGCGAACGGGUGAGUAACACGUGAGUAACCUGCCCUUGACUUUGGGAUAACUUCAGGAAACUGGGGCUAAUACCGGAUAGGAGCUCCUGCUGCAUGGUGGGGGUUGGAAAGUUUCGGCGGUUGUGGAUGGACUCGCGGCUUAUCAGCUUGUUGGUGGGGUAGUGGCUUACCAAGGCUUUGACGGGUAGCCGGCCUGGGAGGGUGACCGGCCUCAUUGGGACUGAGGUACGGCGCAGAAUCCUACGGGAGGCAGCGGUCGGGAGUAUUGCGCAGUGGGGGGGAGCCUGAUGCAGCAACGCCGCGUGCGGGAUGACCGCCUUCGGGUGAUAAACCGAUUUCGCAUGUGCCGAAGCGUGAGUGACGGUAAUGGGUAAAGAAGCACCGGCUAACUACGUG
RNAcentral lists this ribosomal RNA (468 nucleotides) under uncultured bacterium. RNAcentral's name for it is "partial 16S ribosomal RNA". It matches the Rfam family "Bacterial small subunit ribosomal RNA", at positions 28 to 507 of the family's 1533-position model. The record is from RNAcentral.